AGGGAUUUAGGAUAAUAAGACCAAGGGCCUUCAAAGCCCUAAGUGAAGGUGAGACCCCCUCAAUCCCUG
This 69-nucleotide transfer RNA is filed under the name Aphredoderus sayanus (pirate perch). RNAcentral's name for it is "tRNA-Trp". It matches the Rfam family "tRNA". From Rfam's summary of the family: Transfer RNA (tRNA) molecules are approximately 80 nucleotides in length. Their secondary structure includes four short double-helical elements and three loops (D, anti-codon, and T loops). The record is from RNAcentral. Lineage: Eukaryota; Metazoa; Chordata; Actinopteri; Percopsiformes; Aphredoderidae.